CACACAUGAUCAACUCCAUAAUACUAUGCCAGUUAUCUGUAGCCUUAUGUCUUUAGUUUUCUGACAUCACCAAAUAGUUUCUUAUCUGCGUCUGGUAUUAUUUAUACACACAUAUAUAUAAAAAGCCAUCUUCCACCAUCUUAUAGACUGCUGGCUGAGAAUAAAUCAUGCAAGGAGAACAGGCCAGACUUUGGGACCACCUUGGGGAAUACCCCACCCCACAGUUGUUGCCAUCUUGGCAAAUACAAGCAAGAAGCGCACAUUCACUCUGAAGUCAGAGGAGGCAAAUUGCAUAUACUGAAAUGGUGAGUUUCAGCCAAAAAAACUCCAUUCUGACAAGAGUCACUGCUAUUCAUAUGACUAGGCUCAUUAAGAGUGAGAAUUGGAAAAAACUGCAGGAUGGAGUCUGCGUGUGCCUCCUGGCUGAGAUAUUCAGCUGUAUUUUUCCUUGUGAAAGGAAAAUUAUCCCUGCAACAUGAAAGCAAUAAAUAUAGUGGGAUUACUACUCAGCAACUCAAUGGAUACUACUUCAAACAGCCCUAUAGUUAGUAAGUACUCAGUGACAGUAAUUGUUACAAGCAACUGAACCACCAGAGAGAGAUUUCCAUGUUAUCUCUACCCAUACAUACAUAAAAUACCAGUUUGUACAAAUCCAAAGUAUGUGAGGUUAAAGCUAAUGGGCAAGCUUUGUUGAGCAUCUCAAAAAUCAAAUUAACUGCAAUCAAAUUCAUGGCACAACUCAGGGUUCAUUUCAUUACUAUCAGAAAAUUCAAUCUCUGAAAUCUUACAAUAUUAAGCUAAAGCAAUGAUCUUUCUGUUAAAGUUCUCUCUUUUUUCAUUUCAAGGUGAAAUAAAGCUGGCAUGCCUGGGGAAGGUGAAGGUGACGAUUCCCAACAGAUACUACUGAAAGCCUGGCAAACAUUUAAUCAAUUACUGUUAAAUAAAGGAAAGGAAAAAACCCCAAACAUCCUUUCAAACACAUACUCAAAGACAUGUUGCAUUACAAAUUCUACAUCUUGCAUCUAUUUCUACAUCAUGCCUUUUCCUGCACAAAUGCAUAUGUAGGCAUAAACACACAUACAUAGGUAGGCAUAUAUAUAUUUAAUUUCAAUACAAUACAAUACAAAUACAAAUCCAUUAGGGAGCUAGUUAAAUCUGCUCAUUGCUGCAAUAACUAAUCAUAUCUCUGUGCUGUACUGCAGGUGGGAAAAUCAGAAGUUCAGUGCAUUAAAUUCCAGCAUUUUCCUUUUUAAAAUAAAUCUGCAUUUUUGGUUUAUUUCACAGUAUGCACUUACUUAACCUUACUGAAAGAUCUAGCUGUAAAAUACUCACUGCAAUUUCAGACUCCUUUUUAUCCCUCCUCUUCAAGGUUUCCAACUAGGUUUCUCUGCAGGAGUCAAGUGCAGUUUUAAUAAGGCAGAUGAGGCAGGGCUUCUCAACUGCUUUUGAUAGAGGUGAGGUGGUCAGCUCUUUAUUGACUUUCUGCAGUACUGCAGCUACAGACCGUACAGACAAUCUUGCUUUAUGAGCAUGCACCAGGCAGGAGGAAAUGGGCCUGGAAAUUUCCAGCCAGCAGUGUUUGAUGCACUGCUUGAAAAGCUGCACAAUGUGCAUAUAAAGGAAACUAGGGACAGCCUUUUUCCUUGUUGUUGCUAAACCAUCAGGCUGCAGUUGCUACAUUUACCUAGGAAAACCUGCUCAGGAGCCAUUUUAAGAAUUAAUUUGUCUCAGGAAAAGGAAAGAAAACAACACUGGUUAUUUUGUGCACAUUACAGAGUGCUGCAUAUCAAAGACCCUUUCACAAACACUUGGAAAAAUCACAUGGGAGGUAAUAACCCACUGAAUUAUUUUACUGUCCUUUUCUUGUGCAGGCAGCCACAGCACAUCCACACUGUAUGCAGUGCACAGCUGCACUGAUAUACACAAAACCUCACAAGGGGAUGUGGAAAAAGGGAAGCAAUCACAGGCUGGUAUAAUGUACUAUUAAGGUUUUAUUGGUACCAGCAUGGAGGAACUGCAUCACUAAUUAAUGGAUGCACACAGGCUACACAUAUCCUUCCAAUCAAGUGACAAUAAACCCUAGUAGCCUUCUUCACCCUCAUACAUACAUUACUUGAGCUAUUUACCCCACUCCCUGUUUUUCUGGUCUGCACAUUCCCCUCUUCCCUCACCAUCCCACAUCUACACUAGCAAGACACAUCCCUGAAUUGUGCUCUGACAUAGGGGAGAUGAACAUCAUGUCCCCAUUCAUGAGCUUCCCACAUUGGUGCCACUGGACUAAGUUUAUAACAGCAGACAGGGUUCAAACUAUGCAGACAGGAGGUUUGGAACCCUCCCCCACAGAUGUGUCCACAAAUACUGACACAAAAAUAACCAUUAAAUUCAGGUUUGACAUUUCUCUGUGCCUCUUUUACUCCUUGCCCAAGGGGGACAACAUCCUCCUCCCCCAGGGGAGCACAGCAAUGGUAAGCGGAUCAAAGACAGCAAGAAGGUUCAGACAUUUUGGUGAUGGCAGCCCUACAAAAGCCAGGACAGACUUCAGUCCCUACAAAAAUGUACCCACAUAGGGCUGCACAUCUCAGCUUGCACCCAGCUGCAGCAGCAGCAGCUGCAGCACCGCUCUGCCAAGGACUGGCUGAGGGAGCCAGGUCCCACCUCCUGCUGAAGCACUGCACCUGAGCAGCCAGCACUGCUGCAAGGUACACAGCACAGUUUCACUUCUUUCAGCUAAUUGCAGAGCUCUUGGGGAUUCUGAAAAGAAUGGUAUACACACAGAGGUUCAAAAACCUUACAGCUACAGUGCUCCUAUCUGAGGAUAUACCCCUACUGCAAGCAAGACUUAACUAUGUGCUUAAAUUCUACUAACUUCAGGGGACAUAAGGAUUUGCUUAACUUUCAUUAUAGCAGCCAUUUGUUUUACAGUUACCUGGAUAAUAUGUCUUGCCUUUUCAUGGACAGCACUGAGCUCCUUCCACAGUAGGGUAUUACUUCUUACACAUAAAUGGAAGAUCAGGUAGAAAUGGAGGCAUUUUUAGCUAGCUACCUGAAAAACAUGGACAAUAACAGGCAUAUGAUUUUGUUGCAGACUGCAGUGCUAUCUGAGUGCUCCUGAAUUUUCACCGGUGAGAUAAGCAUCAGUGAACAGCUACAACAUUGUCCUUAAAGAAGGAUAACAAAAGGACAGUAACCCAUAGCAAAGAAAAUUUCCAUACUGUGUUCUGCGUUUUAUUUUUAAAAAUGCAGCUACAGAUGUGAAAUAACAGAUGUUAGACUCUCACCACACAUACACCGCUAUAAUUCAGAUGACCUUGCUGAAUUAGAAAGCUAAGCACAAGAUAAAUGUCCACUUUCUCUCCUCAAUGCUUGUCUUGAGCAGGGAAGAGUUGUGCUGGUGUUUAGUUAUCUGUUUCCUCCCAGUUCCCCAUCUGCAAUUCCCCAAAGUGUGUUCUUACAGCACUUCAGCUAGUUUUUCCAAAUCAGAUGCUGCUGACAUUGUGAAUCUUAUGAAUUUUCUUUGUUGACAGGGAUUAGAUACUGCUUCACUUUAACUCCCCAAAUUGGCAGAAGACUGGCCUGGACCUGCUGCCAGUUUGUGCUCAGGCUCUACUCCCAGUAGGCAAGAGAUGCUCAGGGCUUCUGGACAGUCAUAUGCAAUACAGUGAUUUAAUCAAAAUUACAUGCCAGUUUCACUCUUUAAAGCAAAACUCAAACAGUCAAAUAAUUAAUUAUUGCUUUAAAUUCUUAAGAUCUUUUCUUUAAUUCUGAAGAUCUUAAGAUCUGCAUGUGUUCAAAAUACUCUAAAGAGAAGAAACAGACUGACAUUGUCUUUCGGUCUUUUGGUAGUAGCAAAGCAGAUUAUUCCUAUCAUGUUCUGCAGGGGUGCUGUCAAAUGCUGUUUCAGGCUAUGGGCCAAAACCUACCCCCAGCCCAUGUGCUCAGUUCCCACUGGCAUCAAUGAUAUCUCCACCAUGGACUGACAGCAGUAAAUGGGCAGAGAUGUGCUGGCUGCUCAAAUAGCACGAUCUAUGUGCUGAAUAAUUCAUUUUAAACUGUUGCACAGAUGUCAAAAUGUUAUUGCUGAUUUCUAGCCAGCAGAAUGGGCGUUUCUUCUCCUGAUAUGAGUGUGUCACUGCCUGUAAUGCCUGAGAAGAUUUGGGGGAUGUCUCAGCCAGACAGCAAAGCCCAUACAUGGCAUGCCUGUGAACAUACAAUUAAAAUGAUCACUUAAGGCCACCUUUCACUCUCCUCAUUAGGAUUCUCUUGCAGAUGCACUCACCCGUUGCCUUCAAAAAGUUUCAAAAAAACAGCUCAAAACAAGGCAGGUUACAUAUGUUAGAGGGUACUCUCCAAAAAUCACUUCAGCCCUUUGGAUUUUUGCUGAAAUACCAUGGAAAAACUCUAAGUACAA
This 4408-nucleotide long non-coding RNA is filed under the name Taeniopygia guttata (zebra finch). Its description in RNAcentral is "lncRNA (ENSTGUG00000028743.1)". The record is from RNAcentral. Lineage: Eukaryota; Metazoa; Chordata; Aves; Passeriformes; Estrildidae.